RNAcentral lists this ribosomal RNA (208 nucleotides) under uncultured fungus. Its description in RNAcentral is "partial 28S ribosomal RNA". It matches the Rfam family "Eukaryotic large subunit ribosomal RNA", at positions 1 to 199 of the family's 3401-position model. Lineage: Eukaryota; Fungi. The record is from RNAcentral.
UUAAUGUGACCUCAAAUCAGGUAGGACUACCCGCUGAACUUAAGCAUAUCAAUAAGCGGAGGAAAAGAAACUAACAAGGAUUCCCCUAGUAACUGCGAGUGAAGCGGGAAAAGCUCAAAUUUAAAAUCUGGCGGUCUUAUGGCUGUCCGAGUUGUAAUCUAGAGAAGUGUUAUCCGCGCUGGACCGUGUACAAGUCUCCUGGAAUGGA